UUCAGAGCCUGGAUCUCCUUGACCAGGGAGCUGAAGGAAUUGGAUUGUUCCUUGGUCUUCUGAGCUACAGCCAUGUGAGUGGAGGUGGGAGUGAAGAGAUGCACAACCUGGAGGUUUCUGAAAAGUGGGCGCUCUGCUAGGAGAAGAGAACUUCCACAGUGAAAUUGCCUAUGUCAUGGGACAGCUCUGGAUCUCUCAAGGCCCUGUCACCCAAGUACAGCCAUUGCCUCUGUCCUUUUCCUAUUGCCAGCCUUCUGUCACUGGAGGAUAUGGAGUGAUUCUAACCCUCUUGACAUCUGCUCAAGAUGAGUGUGGCUGCUUGGAGCAGUGGGACAUGAAGAGAAGACACCUAUUCAAGAUGGAGUGAUGACCAUGGAUUUGUGAAUGAUGUGGAAACACUGGAGCUCACACAGUGCUAUCAACUCAGUGAGGCUGCUGAGAGAGCUAUUGCUCUACCUCACGAAGUGAGUUCUUUUUAUUUUUUUAAUGUCCUCUCCAUUCCCACUUUCUCCAACCACUUCCAACUUAAUAUGCACUUCUGGAUUCAGACAAGUGGAGA
Molecule: long non-coding RNA, 559 nt
Filed under: Chinchilla lanigera (long-tailed chinchilla)
Lineage: Eukaryota; Metazoa; Chordata; Mammalia; Rodentia; Chinchillidae
Description: lncRNA (ENSCLAG00000022445.1)
Source: RNAcentral